CAGUCGCCGCGGUAAUACGAAGGGGGCUAGCGUUGCUCGGAAUGACUGGGCGUAAAGGGCGCGUAGGCGGUUUGUACAGUUGGAUGUGAAAUUCCUGGGCUUAACCUGGGGGCUGCAUUUGAUACGUGCGGACUUGAGUGUGAAAGAGGGUCGUGGAAUUCCCAGUGUAGAGGUGAAAUUCGUAGAUAUUGGGAAGAACACCGGUGGCGAAGGCGGCGACCUGGUUCAUGACUGACGCUGAGGCGCGAAAGCGUGGGGAGCAAACAGGAUUAGAUACCCCUGUAGUCCCUGUCUCUUAUAC
This 301-nucleotide ribosomal RNA is filed under the name uncultured bacterium. RNAcentral's name for it is "partial 16S ribosomal RNA". It matches the Rfam family "Bacterial small subunit ribosomal RNA", at positions 509 to 807 of the family's 1533-position model. The record is from RNAcentral.